Molecule: non-coding RNA, 91 nt
Organism: Dissoconium aciculare CBS 342.82
Lineage: Eukaryota; Fungi; Ascomycota; Dothideomycetes; Mycosphaerellales; Dissoconiaceae
Source: the annotation of a RefSeq genome assembly
UCCGAACUGGUGUAGAGGUAACAUUUGUCGCUCUCAUCUGCAUUAGCAGUGAAGGCCCGACACGCCCGGGGUUCGAUUCCCCGGUUCGGAA